This 322-nucleotide long non-coding RNA is filed under the name Helianthus annuus (common sunflower). RNAcentral describes it as "hypothetical non coding rna". The record is from RNAcentral. Lineage: Eukaryota; Viridiplantae; Streptophyta; Magnoliopsida; Asterales; Asteraceae.
AUACUCAUGAAACUGAUUGCCAGCAUGUAGUAGCCUUGAAGGUCCAAUACAAUUAGGGGAAAGUGGUUUAUUACAAGUGAUAACCUAGACUAAAAGUGGCGGCCAUGUGAGCUUAAAUCUAAUCAAAAACCAUGUGAGUAUUUUAUGGUGACUUGGAUGACCAACUGAAAACAUAACCGAAUAGCUAGUCUUACCGAGCAAAUCAAGGUCCAUAGGUGCUGAGAAUGCAGGAACUUGCUGGCUGGAGGGCGAGAGUGGUCAUGGUUACAUUAAUAAACUUAUUUAUCAGACUUUUAUUCAUUGUGGUUGUUUGGAUAAUAUU